AUGGACUUAUUUCAUGUUUGUAUUUAUUUUGUUUUUGGAAGAAAAUAUUCCUUUUGUCUUUCUCCAUUGCAGAGGCUUAAAAUUGUCUUGGGCUCAGCCCUGCUACACUCUCUCAAGUACUCACAUCCGGAGCAUAUCACCCAUUUCACCACAAAGCCAACACUUCUUCAGAAAGGCCCUCCUGUUAUUGACUUAGACAAAAAUGACACAGCUCCUCUUUUGGCGAACUCCAAAGGAACAGCUUGGCCUACCAUGUGCAUUAAAGAUGCUGCUGCUGCUCCAGGUCUCUAGUAUCGAUCACUGAAGCUCCACAUCAAGGAUGCUGCUGCGUGUACCAAGGGCACCCUAUUGCAUCCCUGACGAGGUAUUUGUGCAGUUCCCUAUUGUUGCCACAGUGAUUGGUCCCAUAUUCCAUUGCUGUAGAAAUUAGAAUGAUUAUAGUGAAUGACUAGCAUUUGCAGUUUGGUUUUGACCCUUUUAGGUUUUACUUUGUCUUUUAUUGCAAUCUUGUCUGGCCAAAAAAAAAAAAAGUGGGUAAGAAGCAUCAUGCUAUGCUCAGACCCCCACCCCCCGACCCCCAAUAAUUGCACUAUCUCCAGACUGAUGCCAUGUUAGAAUGUAAAGACCAAUGGCUUAAAUGUAAUUUGCUCAUUUAAAAACUAAUGAAGCAGAUGUGAAGUUAUAAAACCUGGAAAUUUACCCUUUAGUUCUAAACACAAAUUGAUAAAGUAUCAUUUUCCCCAAUUAUUUUUCUCUGUGUACCUCCUCUUCAUUUAGAAUAUAGGAUAAGAGUCAAAGCAUUUACCUUCCUCGAGGCUCAUCUGUGCUUAACAUAGAGCUCUGAAAAUAGGGACUAUGUUAUGUACGGUGAUGAUGAAAUUAAUUAUUAGAUGAGAAACUUACUUGAAAAACAUUAGUAUGAACAAAGCAUUUUUACACAUUCAGUACUUUUGUCUAUUAGUUUGACAUAACCAUGGCUAAGUUAAGGAACUUUUUCUCCAGUGGUUGAAACAUAGAGAAAAAAUAAAGGGAAGUCAAAUACCA
RNAcentral lists this long non-coding RNA (1044 nucleotides) under Felis catus (domestic cat). RNAcentral describes it as "lncRNA (ENSFCAG00000052259.1)". Lineage: Eukaryota; Metazoa; Chordata; Mammalia; Carnivora; Felidae. The record is from RNAcentral.